UUGGCCUCAAAUCGAGUAGGACUACCCGCUGAACUUAAGCAUAUCAAUAAGCGGAGGAAAAGAAACUAACAAGGAUUCCCCUAGUAACGGCGAGUGAAGAGGGAAAAGCUCAAAUUUUGAAUCUGAUGCCUUUGGUAUCCGAAUUGUAAUCUAGAGAAGUGUUUUCUGUGAUGGACCGUGCACAAGUCUCCUGGAAUGGAGCGUCAUAGAGGGUGAGAAUCCCGUAUAUGGCACCGACUCCCAUUGCUCUACGAUACACUCUCGACGAGUCGAGUUGUUUGGGAAUGCAGCCCCAAAUGGGUGGUAAUGUCAUCUAAAGCUUAAUAUUGGCGAGAGAACGAUAGCGCAACAAGGUACCGGUGAGGGGAAAAGAAUAAAAAAGCACUAUUGGGAAAGAGA
Molecule: ribosomal RNA, 399 nt
Filed under: uncultured fungus
Lineage: Eukaryota; Fungi
Description: eukaryotic LSU rRNA
Rfam family: Eukaryotic large subunit ribosomal RNA
Source: RNAcentral